RNAcentral lists this ribosomal RNA (1505 nucleotides) under Lactiplantibacillus pentosus. RNAcentral describes it as "Lactobacillus pentosus partial 16S ribosomal RNA". It matches the Rfam family "Bacterial small subunit ribosomal RNA". The record is from RNAcentral. Lineage: Bacteria; Bacillati; Bacillota; Bacilli; Lactobacillales; Lactobacillaceae.
CGUGCCUAAUACAUGCAAGUCGAACGAACUCUGGUAUUGAUUGGUGCUUGCAUCAUGAUUUACAUUUGAGUGAGUGGCGAACUGGUGAGUAACACGUGGGAAACCUGCCCAGAAGCGGGGGAUAACACCUGGAAACAGAUGCUAAUACCGCAUAACAACUUGGACCGCAUGGUCCGAGUUUGAAAGAUGGCUUCGGCUAUCACUUUUGGAUGGUCCCGCGGCGUAUUAGCUAGAUGGUGGGGUAACGGCUCACCAUGGCAAUGAUACGUAGCCGACCUGAGAGGGUAAUCGGCCACAUUGGGACUGAGACACGGCCCAAACUCCUACGGGAGGCAGCAGUAGGGAAUCUUCCACAAUGGACGAAAGUCUGAUGGAGCAACGCCGCGUGAGUGAAGAAGGGUUUCGGCUCGUAAAACUCUGUUGUUAAAGAAGAACAUAUCUGAGAGUAACUGUUCAGGUAUUGACGGUAUUUAACCAGAAAGCCACGGCUAACUACGUGCCAGCAGCCGCGGUAAUACGUAGGUGGCAAGCGUUGUCCGGAUUUAUUGGGCGUAAAGCGAGCGCAGGCGGUUUUUUAAGUCUGAUGUGAAAGCCUUCGGCUCAACCGAAGAAGUGCAUCGGAAACUGGGAAACUUGAGUGCAGAAGAGGACAGUGGAACUCCAUGUGUAGCGGUGAAAUGCGUAGAUAUAUGGAAGAACACCAGUGGCGAAGGCGGCUGUCUGGUCUGUAACUGACGCUGAGGCUCGAAAGUAUGGGUAGCAAACAGGAUUAGAUACCCUGGUAGUCCAUACCGUAAACGAUGAAUGCUAAGUGUUGGAGGGUUUCCGCCCUUCAGUGCUGCAGCUAACGCAUUAAGCAUUCCGCCUGGGGAGUACGGCCGCAAGGCUGAAACUCAAAGGAAUUGACGGGGGCCCGCACAAGCGGUGGAGCAUGUGGUUUAAUUCGAAGCUACGCGAAGAACCUUACCAGGUCUUGACAUACUAUGCAAAUCUAAGAGAUUAGACGUUCCCUUCGGGGACAUGGAUACAGGUGGUGCAUGGUUGUCGUCAGCUCGUGUCGUGAGAUGUUGGGUUAAGUCCCGCAACGAGCGCAACCCUUAUUAUCAGUUGCCAGCAUUAAGUUGGGCACUCUGGUGAGACUGCCGGUGACAAACCGGAGGAAGGUGGGGAUGACGUCAAAUCAUCAUGCCCCUUAUGACCUGGGCUACACACGUGCUACAAUGGAUGGUACAACGAGUUGCGAACUCGCGAGAGUAAGCUAAUCUCUUAAAGCCAUUCUCAGUUCGGAUUGUAGGCUGCAACUCGCCUACAUGAAGUCGGAAUCGCUAGUAAUCGCGGAUCAGCAUGCCGCGGUGAAUACGUUCCCGGGCCUUGUACACACCGCCCGUCACACCAUGAGAGUUUGUAACACCCAAAGUCGGUGGGGUAACCUUUUAGGAACCAGCCGCCUAAGGUGGGACAGAUGAUUAGGGUGAAGUCGUAACAAGGUAGCCGUAGGAGAACCU